Long non-coding RNA from Bos taurus (domestic cattle), 1197 nucleotides. Lineage: Eukaryota; Metazoa; Chordata; Mammalia; Artiodactyla; Bovidae. The record is from Ensembl.
ACACCACUGACUUUCCUAUAUACUUGCCCCCACCCCAGUUAGUGAUUGUUCUAACCCUUAGAUCAGAACAUCUCCACCUGAUUGCUGAUCAAAUGGGUAGUGAGAGCGUGCCCCUCGGCCAGUUUCCCUGGUAACCAAUGAGCCAACCAAUGUCAAUUCCCCCUCUAACUGGUAACCUCCCCCUCCCUCCAGGAGCUGCCCUGUCCCGCCUGCUGCCUGCCUGGUACGGUAGACUGUUGUUGUUUUGUGGCUGGAGUGGGAGCUGUCAUGUCCCGGGGCCUGCAGGCGUCCUUAACAUGGACUCACCGCCAAGUGAGGGUUCUUGGCUUCUCGACAGGGGGAAAGAAUUCAAGAGCCAGCCAAGGAAAAGCAAAGAGGAUUUGUCCUUACAGGGAGAGACUACCCAGGGCUGCAGUGGAGACCUCACCUUUCAGGAUCCAGUCAACUUCCAGAAUCAGGAAUCAUCCCAGGAGAAUGAAAAUAUGGAGAUCUUUUAGCCUACAACCUCAUGUGGCAAAAAGCCUGUUAUUGCUGCAGGUACUAAAGAAGAACGAAAUGAUCUCAAGCUAGGUCAUAAAAGAGAGAAAUCUAGGAGAUGGAGAACCUGGAGCAUUUAGCUUUUAUUGACACAUGGCUCAGCUUUUCAAUUGUAUCAAAUUCAAAGCAAUAAACACUCAUCCGGUGUCCAUCUCCCCAAGGUGCUCCAGGAGGCAUGGAGAGGCGGAGAGGAAAAAACACAGCAGGAAAGCCUCCAUAUACAUGUGGCCAUGCUUUGGGGAGAAAACCCAAGUGCACGUUGGUUAGGGCUAUAAGAUAGGAAUGUACAGUGUGCUGUGGGAACACAUACAGAAGCAUUUUAUUCUGCCUGGAGGGUGCCUGGGAAGCUUGGCGCCGAAUGACCGGACUGUCCCUGGCAAUAUGGAUUAAUAAGGCGCUAACUUUCAACCUUUUCUAAUUGAGACUUACAGUUCAAAAUUAUUUUAUAUGCCUAUUCUAAACACACAAACCCAUGCACAUGUACUUAAGUGUUACAAAAUAAUACUCUGUGAGGCACCCUUGUGUUUUGUUUUUUUUCCUUUCAUUCUGUUUUUAUUAUUGUAGAUGCUGGUUGAAACCCAUUUAACUGAGCAACCUUGAUCAAUUAAUGAAUUGGGAUCUCAACUUACAAAAUUCUGGAAUAAAGCAUGGUCUUUGAAG